This 920-nucleotide ribosomal RNA is filed under the name Bacillus sp. JZDN28. RNAcentral's name for it is "bacterial SSU rRNA". It matches the Rfam family "Bacterial small subunit ribosomal RNA", at positions 356 to 1273 of the family's 1533-position model. Lineage: Bacteria; Bacillati; Bacillota; Bacilli; Caryophanales; Bacillaceae. The record is from RNAcentral.
GGAGUGGAUUCGCAUGGACGAAGUCUGACGGAGCAACGCCGCGUGAGUGAUGAAGGUUUUCGGAUCGUAAAGCUCUGUUGUUAGGGAAGAACAAGUGCAAGAGUAACUGCUUGCACCUUGACGGUACCUAACCAGAAAGCCACGGCUAACUACGUGCCAGCAGCCGCGGUAAUACGUAGGUGGCAAGCGUUGUCCGGAAUUAUUGGGCGUAAAGGGCUCGCAGGCGGUUUCUUAAGUCUGAUGUGAAAGCCCCCGGCUCAACCGGGGAGGGUCAUUGGAAACUGGGAAACUUGAGUGCAGAAGAGGAGAGUGGAAUUCCACGUGUAGCGGUGAAAUGCGUAGAGAUGUGGAGGAACACCAGUGGCGAAGGCGACUCUCUGGUCUGUAACUGACGCUGAGGAGCGAAAGCGUGGGGAGCGAACAGGAUUAGAUACCCUGGUAGUCCACGCCGUAAACGAUGAGUGCUAAGUGUUAGGGGGUUUCCGCCCCUUAGUGCUGCAGCUAACGCAUUAAGCACUCCGCCUGGGGAGUACGGUCGCAAGACUGAAACUCAAAGGAAUUGACGGGGGCCCGCACAAGCGGUGGAGCAUGUGGUUUAAUUCGAAGCAACGCGAAGAACCUUACCAGGUCUUGACAUCCUCUGACAACCCUAGAGAUAGGGCUUUCCCUUCGGGGACAGAGUGACAGGUGGUGCAUGGUUGUCGUCAGCUCGUGUCGUGAGAUGUUGGGUUAAGUCCCGCAACGAGCGCAACCCUUGAUCUUAGUUGCCAGCAUUCAGUUGGGCACUCUAAGGUGACUGCCGGUGACAAACCGGAGGAAGGUGGGGAUGACGUCAAAUCAUCAUGCCCCUUAUGACCUGGGCUACACACGUGCUACAAUGGACAGACAAAGGGCUGCGAGACCGCAAGGCUUAGCCAAUC